UGGGGAAUUGUUCGCAAUGGGCGCAAGCCUGACGACGCAACGCCGCGUGGAGGACGAAGAUCUUCGGGUCGUAAACUCCUGUCGAGCGGGAAGAACGCUUCCCGGGUGAAUAAUCCGGGGAGGUGACGGUACCGCUAAAGGAAGCCCCGGCUAACUCCGUGCCAGCAGCCGCGGUAAUACGGGGGGGGCAAGCGUUGUUCGGAAUUACUGGGCGUAAAGGGCUCGUAGGCGGCCAACUAAGUCGGAUGUGAAAUCCCCAGGCUUAACCUGGGAACUGCAUCUGAUACUGGAUGGCUUGAAUCCGGGAGAGGGAUGCAGAAUUCCAGGUGUAGCGGUGAAAUGCGUAGAUAUCUGGAGGAAUACCGGUGGCGAAGGCGGCAUCCUGGACCGGCAUUGACGCUGAUGAGCGAAAGCUAGGGGAGCAAACGG
RNAcentral lists this ribosomal RNA (429 nucleotides) under uncultured bacterium. Its description in RNAcentral is "bacterial SSU rRNA". It matches the Rfam family "Bacterial small subunit ribosomal RNA", at positions 355 to 775 of the family's 1533-position model. The record is from RNAcentral.